CAGUAGCCACGGUAAUACGAAGGGGGCUAGCGUUGCUCGGAAUCACUGGGCGUAAAGGGUGCGUAGGCGGGUUUCUAAGUCAGGGGCGAAAUCCUGGAGCUCAACUCCAGAACUGCCCUUGAUACUGGAAGUCUUGAGUAUGGGAGAGGUGAGUGGAACUGCGAGUGUAGAGGUGAAAUUCGUAGAUAUUCGCAAGAACACCAGUGGCGAAGGCGGCUCACUGGCCCAUAACUGACGCUGAGGCACGAAAGCGUGGGGAGCAAACAGGAUUAGAUACCCCCGUAGUCCCUGUCUCUUAUAC
Molecule: ribosomal RNA, 301 nt
Filed under: uncultured bacterium
Lineage: Bacteria
Description: partial 16S ribosomal RNA
Rfam family: Bacterial small subunit ribosomal RNA
Source: RNAcentral